GAUAAAAGGUGACAAAUGCCAUGACAAACACAAAAAACAAGAGUUUGAUUUCGUCAGGACAAUAGUUAAAGAAGCCUCAAAUAGUGUAUUUUUUCCAGUCUUUACUUUAAAGAUCUGCUAAAGAGAACGUCCCAAGCCAGUUCUGUUGAAAGAGAUGUAAUAUGGAUCAAUAAUAAAGUCUGAUUCCACAGGAUGGAGUUUUGUUAUUCAACUGAAAGAAAUAUGACUAAAAGAGGAUGUGAACAUGCUGUAAACAAUGACAAUUGUAACAUAUACAUGUAUACUAUGUGUUACAGAUACAUGUACAUUUACUCAUUAUAAUAACUCUGAUUAUGACAACUAAUAAUGAUAAUCUAAUAAAAAAAAAUCUUUUCUUAUUGCAUAGUUUUUAUCAACAUUAUAAACAGGGGCUUUAUUUUGU
Magallana angulata is the source of this 421-nucleotide long non-coding RNA. RefSeq lists it as uncharacterized. The record is from RefSeq and is a predicted model, not a curated record. The transcript is spliced from 3 exons. NCBI's taxonomy places the organism in Eukaryota, Metazoa, Mollusca, Bivalvia, Ostreida, Ostreidae.